UGAAUUUCAGGCCUGGCUGGACGGUCCGCCCUUCGGCACAGUACUGUCUGUGGUCCGGUCCUACCUUCUGGCGAAGCGUCAUGGCCUUAACCGGCCGUGGCGGGGAACCAGGACUUUUACUGUGAAAAAAUUAGAGUGUUCAAAGCAGGUAAUCGCUUGGAUACAUUAGCAUGGAAUAAUGGAAUAGGACAAUGGUUCUAUUUGUUGGUUUCUAGGACCGUUGUAAUGAUUAAUAGGGAUAGUUGGGGGCAUUAGUAUUCAAUUGUCAGGGUGAAAUUCUUGGAUUUAUUGAAGACUAACUACUGCGAAAGCAUUUGCCAAGGAUGUUUUCAUUAAUCAAGAACGAAAGUUAGGGGAUCGAAGACGAUUAAGAUACC
This 377-nucleotide ribosomal RNA is filed under the name uncultured Paraglomus. RNAcentral's name for it is "SSU rRNA". It matches the Rfam family "Eukaryotic small subunit ribosomal RNA", at positions 635 to 1016 of the family's 1831-position model. The record is from RNAcentral. Lineage: Eukaryota; Fungi; Glomeromycota; Glomeromycetes; Paraglomerales; Paraglomeraceae.